This 456-nucleotide ribosomal RNA is filed under the name uncultured bacterium. RNAcentral's name for it is "partial 16S ribosomal RNA". It matches the Rfam family "Bacterial small subunit ribosomal RNA", at positions 355 to 803 of the family's 1533-position model. The record is from RNAcentral.
UAGGGAAUCUUCCACAAUGGACACAAGUCUGAUGGAGCAACGCCGCGUGAGUGAAGAAGGCUUUCGGGUCGUAAAACUCUGUUAUUGAAGAAGAACGUGUGUGACAGUAACUGGUCAUGCAGUGACGGUAUUCAAUCAGAAAGUCACGGCUAACUACGUGCCAGCAGCCGCGGUAAUACGUAGGUGGCAAGCGUUGUCCGGAUUUAUUGGGCGUAAAGCGAGUGCAGGCGGUCUUUUAAGUCUGAUGUGAAAGCCUUCGGCUUAACCGAAGAAGGGCAUCGGAAACUGGGAGACUUGAGUGCAGAAGAGGAGAGUGGAACUCCAUGUGUAGCGGUGAAAUGCGUAGAUAUAUGGAAGAACACCAGUGGCGAAGGCGGCUCUCUGGUCUGUAACCGACGCUGAGGCUCGAAAGCGUGGGUAGCAAACAGGAUUAGAUACCCUGGUAGUCCACGCCGU